Molecule: long non-coding RNA, 462 nt
Organism: Dalotia coriaria
Lineage: Eukaryota; Metazoa; Arthropoda; Insecta; Coleoptera; Staphylinidae
Exons: 2
Source: RefSeq, a predicted model, not a curated record
GAUUGCAUAUAUUCAGAGAAAAUACGGUACAUUUUUUACACAUAGGUUUUCCGAAUUAAUUGAAUAACUGACCCGUGUGGUUUGAAAGUGGCCUAACUCCAUUUAUAGUUACAUCAAGGUAUUUACUAUUGAUAAUGUCGGAAAGCAGCGAUGAAGAAAUUAUUGCACCAAUGAGGAAGAACCGAAGAAGACCACUUAGUUCAGAUAGUGAAAAAGAAAUAGUAAUUAAUAAAAAAAAAGCGAAUAAGAAAAAGAGUUAUAAAACAAUAUUCCUCGUCAGAGGAUGAAGAUUCAAAUAACAAUGGAGAAAAGAUUGAUGCACCAUAUAUCCAAAAAGUGCGAAAGAUAAAACGGAAUUCAGGAAAAAGAUAUUGCAGUUAAACCGGAAGUAUUGUUCAUGAAAAAAAUUUCGAAAACAAAGAUUGUGGUUGUCGGAAUGCGUGCACAAAAAAUUAUAAUGAA